RNAcentral lists this long non-coding RNA (1955 nucleotides) under Brassica napus (rape). Its description in RNAcentral is "long non-coding RNA (BNAP_LNC017422)". Lineage: Eukaryota; Viridiplantae; Streptophyta; Magnoliopsida; Brassicales; Brassicaceae. The record is from RNAcentral.
UCCAUUCUAUUUAGGUUGAGGGUUUAUAUUUGGGUUUAUGGUUUAUAUUUGAGUUUAGGGUUUAGUGAUUAUGGUUUAAGGCUAAGUAUAUAGGGGUUUAUGGUAGGAUUGUUAUAUGGUUAAUUAUUGAGGGGUUUAGGGUUUAGUGAUUAAAGUUUAGGAUGUAGUACUUCCUCUCAAGUCUAUUUUCCUUUCCAUUUUAUAUAGUAUAGGUAAUAGUACAAAAUAUUAUAUAUUAUUUUCAUAUUUUAAUUUAAUCUAAAAUAUUUUACAUUUAGAUUUGGGUUUAGGAAUUCAAGUUUAGGGUUUAGUAUUUCAGUCUUGGAGGUGUGUUGGGUUUAGGGUUGGAGGUGGGUUGGGGUUGAAUUACAAGAGUAGUAUUCAUUCCAUGUUAGAUAGUAUAGAAUAAUAGUUGAAAAUUUAUAUAUUUAUUAUUUUUUGUUGUUUUCUUUAAAAUAUUAUAACUUAAAUUAAAUUUAACAUUUGGGUUUGGGUUUAAAGACUCGAGUUUAUGGUUUAGUAUUAGGUAUGCAUGUUAGGUUUAGAGUUUAUGAUUUUGUUUCGUACGAAGAUAUUCUGUUUGUUCUAUCUGACGUAGUACUUUUAUAAAUGUCACACAAAUUACACAUGCAGUAAUUACUGAGAUUGGUGAGAGGAAAAAUAAGGAAUAUAUUUUGGUUGCUAAAGGAUACACUUAAACGAUUUUUGGUGUUUUGCUGCGAGUGCCUUCAGUGAUGCCAAUAAAUAAUGGGGAAUUGGGUGGUAUGGCUACAAAAAAAAAAAAACAAUAUUUAGAUCAAUAGCCAAAUAACCUAGAAUACAUUGAUACAAAGUGUAUUUUAUAUAAUAUUACACUUCUAACCUUCAACGCAACCGGCUCAACCUGCAAUUUAAAUGAAAAAAAAAUUAUUCAAAAGAGCAAAAGUUAAACGUGGUAAUCAGAAAGUCACACAUUUCUUCUUCUUCCUAACGUCUUACAUGGUUUUCAUUCCACAUUAUUGUUAUACUAUACAAUUGAUUUUACAUUUACUUUGUUAUAUGGAUACUAACACAUUUAUCUUUAGCUUUUGUUUCUCAGAUUACAAAUGGAAGAUUAGACUGCCAAGUAGAUUGUUUGAAACUGGAUUUGAGCAAUUUGGUGAAUAUAUUCUCAUUUAUAUGUAAUGAUGCAAUGUGUAUAUAAGUGGAAUAGAUCGUGUCUACGUAAAAUGGAAAGACCAUUCAUGUGAAAUGGAAUAUUUGAUCUUUACUAUUUGUUGUAUUCUAUUAUAAUUGCAGGACAUAGACAUUUCAUGAUAUCAUAGACAUUUCAUGAUACUAUUUGGGGUUAGCAUUAACUUUUUUCAUGAUAUCAUAGAUAUUUCAUAAUUUCACCAAUAUGUACUAUACUAUUUACUUAGUUCCAUUCUAUUUAGGUUGAGGGUUUAUAUUUGGGUUUAGGGUUUAUAUUUGGGUUUAGGGAUUAGUGAUUAUGGUUUAAGGUUAAGUAUAUAAGGGUUUAUGGUAGGAUUGUUAUAUGGUUAAUUAUUGAGGGGUUUAGGGUUUAGUGAUUAGAGUUUAGGGUGUACUACUUCCUCUCAAGUCUAUUUUCCUUUCCAUUUUAUAUAGUAUAGGUGAUAGUACAAAAUAUUAUAUAUUAUUUUCAUAUUUUAAUUUAAUCUAAAAUAUUUUACAUUAAGAUUUAGGUUUAGGAAUUCAAGUUUAGGGUUUAGUAUUUCAGUCUUGGAGGUGUGUUGGGUUUAGGGUUGGAGGUGGGUUGGGGUUGAAUUACAAGAGUAGUAUUCAUUCCAUGUUAGAUAGUAUAGAAUAAUAGUUCAAAAUUUAUAUAUUUAUUAUUUUUUGUUGUUUUCUUUAAAAUAUUAUAACUUUAAAUUAAAUUUAACAUUUGGGUUUGGGUUUAGAGACUCGAGUUUAUGGUUUAGUAUUUAGGUGUGCAGGUUAGGUUUAGAGUUUAU